This is a regulatory RNA element of Pseudomonas putida KT2440, 118 nucleotides long. It matches the Rfam family "Pseudomon-groES RNA". The record is from Rfam. NCBI's taxonomy places the organism in Bacteria, Pseudomonadati, Pseudomonadota, Gammaproteobacteria, Pseudomonadales, Pseudomonadaceae.
GUAUGUGGUCACCGCAAGGUUUCUGGUGGCAACACCAGACAUUACACAGGUGGUUCGCUCACAGCGGGCCACCCCCGGCAACGCCGGACAGCAUCAAAACCGCCGGUGUCGAACCGGC